CCCACCAGUAGUACAUUUGAAUAUGUUGAUUAACAUACCAAUUCUAGAAAUUUGAUUUGAGUAUCACAAACUAUUCAAAACCCAAAUUGAAAUGCUACCCACAAUCCAUAAAGCUUCAAUUUCUCAAUAUUUUUUUGUGAUUGGUAAAAUGAUUAAUCAGUAAUCUAUUAAAAAAGGCAAAAACAAGUUCUCAGAGUUCCAUCAAAUUCAUUCGAAGAACUGUUACUGAGAAUUACGAUUUUCAAGCGAGUUUCCAAUCCUAGAGCUCAUUGAUCUCCUAGGUUGAAACUACUGAAACAAAAUCAAAGUCCAACUGUAUUUUCCAUGGCCUCCUCGGUCGUCACUAUCCAUAAUCCUCCGGUUUCCUUAACCUUUACAGCCGCAACGAUGGCACCACCGCCGUGAUCAUAGCCUUUAAAUCAAACAACCCAGAAAACAAGAAAAUAUAUCAUAUAUGGGAGUGAGUUGGAAGAAAAAGAAAUGAAGAGGUAGAAGAUGAUGACGGAGCAUUGGUAGAAGAUGGUAGAAGAUGGGAGGGUUCUAGGAUUUAAAUGAAUAAUUAAAGGUAAAUAAUAAAGUAUAAGAAUAUUGUUACUAGAGUUAACCAUAGUUAUUCAUGUUUAUCAGUUAUUACAAAUGACAGCUUUUUCUACGGUAGUGUUAUGACCACCAAAAAUGGUGGUGGUUGGCAAAUUUGAAUCCCCUUUCUAAAUAAUAACAAAGUGUAACAUUUUAAAAAGAAAUGUUGAACUAAUUUAAAAAGUUGGCACUAGAGGUUAAACUAGUUGGUUAUGAAUAUGUUUUGUAAAAUUAAAGAUAACAAUGGGUUCUGGGUGGAUUCUUUAGGUUUCAUUUCACGAUUUGUUUUUAGUUAUACGGUAUAAGAAUUUGGCAAUAUAACAUGAUUCUACGUUCCAAUAAUAGUUGCCAUGUAAAGCAACUUAUAUACACCAUUACUAUAGCAAUCAAUGUUGUUAUGUUUGCUGUGAUAAAAGAGAAAAUAUAUAUAUAUAUAUAUGGCCGUUCUGAGACGGAUGUCUGCACUGCCCUUAAAGUGUAGACGUCUCUCCGUUUUCCACCGUCAGGCGCCGACGACGCCUUUUCUUCUUGCCAGAGGACAGCAGACCUUGAUACUGAGUUUCCUCUUGCUGGUGAAAAACUGGUCUAAUAUAUAUAUAUAUAUAUAUAUUCCAGACUAAUUUUUCUUCUCUUCUUGUUUUCUAAUGAAACCUGGUUGCAAUUCAUGACUGUAUAAGAAUAUUGUCACUAGAGUUAACCAUAAUUAGUUAUGUUUAUCAGUUAUCACAAAUGACAGCUUUUUCUAAGGUCGUGCUAUGACCACCAAAACUGGUGGUGGUUGGCAAAUUUGAAUCCCCUUUCUAAAUAAUAACAAAGUGUAACAUUUUAAAAAGAAAUGUUGCACUAAUUUAAAAAGUUGGCACUAGAGGUUAAACUAGUUGGUUAUGAAUACAUUUUUGUAAAAUUAAAAAUAACAAUGGGUUCUGGGUGGAUUCUUUAGGGUUCAUUUCACGAUUUGUUUUUAGUUAUACGGUAUAACAAUUUGGCAAUAUAACAUGGUUCUAUGUUCCAAUAAUAGUUGCCAUGUAAGCAACUUAUACACACCAUUACUAUAGCAAUCAAUGUUGUUAUGUUUGCUUUGAUAAAAGAGAAAAUAUAUAUAUAGGGCCGUUCUGAGACGGAUGUCUGCACUGCCCAUAAAGUGCGGACAUCUCUCCGUUUUCCACCAUCAGGCGCUGAUGACGCCUUUUCUUCUUGCCAGAGGACAGCAUACCAUGAUACUGAGUUUCCUCUUGCUGGUGAAAAUCUGGUCUAAUAUAUAUAUAUAUAUAUAUAUCUAUAUAUAUAUAUAUUCCAGACUAAUUUUUCUUCUCUUCUUGUUUUCUAAUGAAACCUGGUUGCAAUUCAUGACUGUAUAAGAAUAUUGUUACUAGAGUUAACCAUAGUUAGUUAUGUUUAUCAGUUGUCACAAAUGACAGCUUUUUCUAAGGUCGUGCUAUAACCACCAAAACUGGUGGUGGUUGGCAAAUUUGAAUCCCCUUUCUAAAUAAUAACAAAGUGUAACAUUUUAAAAAGAAAUGUUGCACUAAUUUAAAAAGUUGGCACUAGAGGUUAAACUAGUUGGUUAUGAAUACGUUUUUGUAAAAUUGAAGAUAACAAUGGGUUCUGGGUGGAUUCUUGAGGUUUCAUUUCACGAUUUGUUUUUAGUUAUACGGUAUAACAAUUUGGCAAUAUAACAUGGUUCUAUGUUCCAAUAAUAGUUGCCAUGUAAGCAACUUAUACACACCAUUACUAUAGCAAUCAAUGUUGUUAUGUUUGCUUUGAUAAAAGAGAAAAUAUAUAUAUAGGGCCGUUCUGAGACGGAUGUCUGCACUGCCCAUAAAGUGCGGACGUCUCUCCGUUUUCCCAUAUCAGGCGCUGACGACGUCUUUUCUUCUUGCCAGAGGACAGCAGACCUUGAUACUGAGUUUCCUCUUGCUGGUNNNNN
This 2506-nucleotide long non-coding RNA is filed under the name Fragaria vesca (wild strawberry). Its description in RNAcentral is "long non-coding RNA (FVES_LNC000032)". Lineage: Eukaryota; Viridiplantae; Streptophyta; Magnoliopsida; Rosales; Rosaceae. The record is from RNAcentral.